AUCAACAGUUACACACAUUUUUAUGAAUCUGUUUAUGUGGAGUGCCAUACAGUUAUAAACCUUGCAGCCAGCACUACUGCCAGAGCUGCUGUUCUAGAAAAUGAAUCCACACCUUCUGACCAAUCAGAACUGAGAAUUCAACAGCACUGUGGUUUAAGAGACUUUAAUCAUCAGCUCAUUCAGUGUGUCUGACGGUACAGAACACAACUGUAAUAAAAUGUAAAGCACAAGGUUUUAAAACAAUUUAGGCUCUUUAAUUGAAUGAAGGACACUAGGGAAGAAUGCAGAGUAGACAGAAACUGGUCAAAAACAAUGAGUGACAAGAAAACAAAUACAAAAUGCAUAAGUAUUGCAGUUUGUUUACUUCCAGGCUUCACAGAGCGUUGGCCUUGAACUUGGUCCUCCUGCAGCUCUGCCCGUGUCACAUCUCUCCCUAGUGGAGUGUGGAGCGUGACCCUGAACAGCCUGUGGCUGAGAAUUUAAUGCCUCUGAGUGGUCAUGGACACGACACACCCUAUUUAAAUAGAGUCGGGUAUAUAAAGAAUGUUUUUGGCUGUGUUAGUUAUUCAUUUACUCUCUGAUAACUACUCUGUGGAGCAGAAAUUGCAGAAGGAUGAUUUUAGGAUAUUGUAUUGUAUUGGUGUUAAUUUCAUAUUCUUAUGGACAGUCCCUGACCUCCUCUGCUUCUGUGGUGAAGAGACCUGGAGAGUCAGUCACUCUGUCCUGUACUGUCUCCGGAUUCUCAAUGAGCAGCUACUACAUGCACUGGAUCCGUCAGAAACCAGGAAAAGGACUGGAGUGGAUCGGGCGCAUUGAUAGUGGCACUAGCACAACAUUCUCUCAGUCUCUGCAGGGCCAGUUCUCCAUCACUAAAGACACCAAUAAAAACAUGCUGUACCUAGAAGUGAAGAGUCUGAAAGCUGAAGACACGGCUGUUUAUUACUGUGCACGACACUCACACUGACACAACAGACUCCAGAGCUGUACAAAAACUUCCACAAGCACGUCCUCAUGAGCUGUAAAUAUUCCCUCAGCAGGAAGCUGAACCCCAGACACAUUUAUUAUAAACAUCCAUUCAUUUUAGUGCUCAGUUUUAUUUCCCCUUUUGUCUUACUCCAUUAACAGUCAAAAUUCCUCUGUAAAAUUCAUGAGCUGGCCUUUUCUUCUUCUGAUAUCCUCUGUGUCCUGUGAGUAAACACAUCUCUCCACACCUUACU
Molecule: non-coding RNA, 1217 nt
Organism: Pangasianodon hypophthalmus (striped catfish)
Lineage: Eukaryota; Metazoa; Chordata; Actinopteri; Siluriformes; Pangasiidae
Source: the annotation of a RefSeq genome assembly